RNAcentral lists this ribosomal RNA (93 nucleotides) under Caerostris darwini. The record is from RNAcentral. Lineage: Eukaryota; Metazoa; Arthropoda; Arachnida; Araneae; Araneidae.
UAAUACCGGUUCUCGUUAGAUCACCGAAGUCAAGCAUCAUUGGGCGCGGUCAGUACUUGGGUGGGUGACCACCUGGGAACACCGCGUGCCGUU